AAGAGAUGAAUGUGGGUAAUAGGAGGAAGCUUAUGAAAGUAGAAUUGGAGCCAUCCCUGAAACUAUGUGCAAGGCUAUCAUUUGUUUUUGUAUUCUCCUUGAAAGUCUUCAAAAGGCAUUGUAAGGGAGAAAGAAACAACAACAAAAUAGAGGAACACAUACCCGAAUACAACAGGUGAGGGAUCUGUGGAGCCAUGAGCCGAGCCUGAGUGGCUCUGGUGUGAAAGCACUCAGGGAAGCAACGGGAAUGGUUUUGCUUCUCUAGAUGUUUCAGCAUCCUAUACACUGAAUUCUCACUUCCAGGUCUGGAAUAGAUCUCAUAAAAUAAGCAAAGAAACAAGAAAUUACUGAAGCCCCUGCCUUUAUCUGCUUGCAGUUGAGCUAACCUCUGCAAAGAGCCACCCAGCCUGCCAAGGGAGCUGGAGGAACAGCAAUGCCAGUGUUUGGAGGCAUGACUUAACCUUGGAGCUUAAUGGAGUCUGGUAAGAGAUACUUCUAAAACGGCAAAAUGGAGGGAUAAACCAUUUAAAGUCAAAUAUAUCAUAUAGCUCACUUAGGGCUUGAUGGGAGAAAAUGUUUAGAGAAAGAAGUUUGAUGAAGUGUCUAAAUACGCACCCUCUAUGUUUGCUACUUCUUCCAGAUCCGUGAAUUCUGAGAGCUUCAUCCUUACUACAAAAAACUGAAGACUAUUACCAAAGGACUCAAAGCUCAGAAACUGAAGCAAAAGGUAAUGCUAUUAGCAUCCAGGAAGUAUUUCUACAACAACUUUAAAACAGAAUCA
Non-coding RNA from Oryctolagus cuniculus (rabbit), 781 nucleotides. The record is from RefSeq and is a predicted model, not a curated record. NCBI's taxonomy places the organism in Eukaryota, Metazoa, Chordata, Mammalia, Lagomorpha, Leporidae.